UGAGUGUUAUGAUGUUGGUUAUGUUAACUAAGUCUAGCUCCAAAGCUUUCGCGCUACUUUUCGGGAAUG
The sequence is a regulatory RNA element, 69 nucleotides long. It matches the Rfam family "L17 ribosomal protein downstream element". The record is from Rfam.